AUAUAGACGGUUAUCUAUGAAAUCUAUUC
RNAcentral lists this ribosomal RNA (29 nucleotides) under Hematodinium sp. RNAcentral's name for it is "partial ribosomal RNA". The record is from RNAcentral. Lineage: Eukaryota; Dinophyceae; Syndiniales; Syndiniaceae.